UGGCGCGUCAGAUUCAGUACUUCUCAAUCAUCGCUGUGUUCUUUGUCGGCUGUCUCGCUAUUAAUUUCGAGAGUGUUUGCAACCCAACAGGAUUUUUGUAGUGCGAGUCAUCGCAAUAGAUGACAGCACCCUGAGAUGUGGGGACAUAUUUCUAGUUGGUGGAGACGAAGUUACCAUCUAUUUGGGAGAUGAAGAAUGCAUCAUAACACCGCCCCACAUAACCAUUACAAGCACGGAAAAGAUUAUCUCAGAGCCUAGAACUCCCAUGACCACAUCCAUAAAAGUUCCCCAGGUUAGUUCACACAAACAGAUUCAUCAUAUUUAUUAUGUGCAUUUUUCCACACAACUUUAUUAGUAGUCUUCAUGCAGAUAAAUUCAUUGUAACAAGUCAUUGAAAUUCCUUAUUAGUUAUUUUUAUCAUAGUAUGGUAUUCAUUGAAAUGAUUUGAUGUCUAUUUAAGAAGAUAAAAUAUAUUUGAAAGCAAGAAAAAGUAUGUA
Ostrea edulis (European flat oyster) is the source of this 497-nucleotide long non-coding RNA. RefSeq lists it as uncharacterized. The transcript has 4 exons. NCBI's taxonomy places the organism in Eukaryota, Metazoa, Mollusca, Bivalvia, Ostreida, Ostreidae. The record is from RefSeq and is a predicted model, not a curated record.